This 253-nucleotide ribosomal RNA is filed under the name uncultured bacterium. RNAcentral's name for it is "partial 16S ribosomal RNA". It matches the Rfam family "Bacterial small subunit ribosomal RNA", at positions 524 to 776 of the family's 1533-position model. The record is from RNAcentral.
UACGGAGGGUGCAAGCGUUGUCCGGAUUUAUUGGGUUUAAAGGGUGCGUAGGCGGCCCGGUAAGUCAGUGGUGAAAGCCCAUCGCUCAACGAUGGAACUGCCAUUGAUACUGCCGGGCUUGAGUACAGACGAGGUAGGCGGAAUUGAUGGUGUAGCGGUGAAAUGCAUAGAUACCAUCAAGAACACCGAUUGCGUAGGCAGCUUACUAGGCUGUAACUGACGCUGAGGCACGAAAGCGUGGGGAGCGAACAGG